This is a non-coding RNA of Acanthosepion pharaonis, 110 nucleotides long. The record is from the annotation of a GenBank genome assembly. Lineage: Eukaryota; Metazoa; Mollusca; Cephalopoda; Sepiida; Sepiidae.
UAUGGCCACAAUGAGUUUGAAACACUGAUUCCCAUACGAUCGCCAAAGUUAAGCAACAUAGAGCCUGGUCAGUACCUAAAUGGGUGAUCAUUUGGGAAUACCAGGUGCUA